CAGUAGCAAUAACGGAUAUAAAAAUAAUGGAAGUAACUUCCGUCCCCAUAGAUUUCAAUGUUUAAAGCAUAAUAGAAGUCAUUUUCCAGAUAUUGAUUACCUGCUAGGCGCUGACGGCUUGCCAGCUCUCGCUGCCAAUGUUCAGAGUACAUUCCCUAAAUGGUGGUUGCCAAGGUGCGCAGCCAAUGAGACUGAGCAGGUUACCAAAGUCAGCCACAUAAUAUCUGCUUUUUUUUGUAGAACUAUAAGGGAAAAACAUCAGAAGCUAGGUUACCUCAUAGUAAAGAGAUAGAAAAAUAUCCACAGGAAAAAUCCCUAUGGAAAUGUUCCAUGGACCUGCCACCUAAAGAAUGCUUCACUGCAUAGAUCAAUAAGGAGCCGGCUGAUGUCUGGUAUUUUGUACACAGUAAUGAAAUAAAGGUGGUGCGGUUAGCAGAGGCCCUGAUUGGUGUGUUGCAUUAUUUUUAUGUAAAUGUACCCCAGUGAGCAGCGUGGGAGCUUUUGACCCUUUUUUGCUCUAUCCAGGAUCUUCCAUCAUGUGCGCAAAUUUAUGAAGUGACGUGUGCCACAUAAAAAAAACUUGGCUCAGCAACUGGGAAAGCAUGAAGGUUCUUCUUUGUGCAAAA
This is a long non-coding RNA of Hyla sarda, 626 nucleotides long. RefSeq lists it as uncharacterized. The record is from RefSeq and is a predicted model, not a curated record. Lineage: Eukaryota; Metazoa; Chordata; Amphibia; Anura; Hylidae. The transcript is spliced from 3 exons.